Microcebus murinus (gray mouse lemur) is the source of this 1226-nucleotide long non-coding RNA. RefSeq lists it as uncharacterized. The record is from RefSeq and is a predicted model, not a curated record. NCBI's taxonomy places the organism in Eukaryota, Metazoa, Chordata, Mammalia, Primates, Cheirogaleidae.
UGAUAGGAUAGGGUGCCCGGGAGAACUGGGUAGAGGAGUUUGGGGUCGGGGCGCGGAAAGGCGGGAGGCACCCCGCUGCCUUCGGAGCCUAGCGCGGGGCACGAUGGGACGCCCCCAGGAAGGGGCGGAGCCGUGUUCGACCGCUGGGCCUGCGGUUGGGCUGGGUCUACUUGGUGCCGGGCUCUCGGCUGGGAAAGACUUUGAAGACCAUGUGAUUCAACUUGCGAUGUACAGCUGUGGAAACUGAAGCCCAGAGAGGGUAUGGAACAUACCCAAGGUCACACAGCCGGAAACUACUGGAGGAUGUGGUACACCAAAACAAGAGAAUAAACCAAGAAACAGGAAGACAUGUGAUCCAAGAAACAGGAUAUUUAACAUAGAAGUGCAAGCUAGUAAACAUUAAGCAGGACAAGAACAUCCAGAAGUGUUGGAAACAGAAGUUCAAUAGUGAAAGCUACAGCUGCAAGAUACCAGCAGUGGAACUGCAGGAGCAAUCAGGGUUUAUAAAUGGCAGUAGCAACCCAGUCGACUUCCCUUCAUCUGACACUGACAUCUAUCACAACGUUUGCCAUCAAACUUAGUGGUAAAACCACCAAGCCUCUGAUUUGGUUUCGCAGGGAAAGCAGUUGUUUGGCCCAAUGUUUUUUUAACAUCAGUGUCUCCUAUUCUUGCAUUUGAAACCAAUAUCUCAGUCACUUUGCACCACGAUUGGUACAAGAAGGCAUGUUCCUUCUUGGAUGGGUGUUUGGUAUUAUUGCAAAAGAUAGUCUUAUAAGACAAACCAACUCUGAAACCCUAAAACUAGUAUCUAGUAACAGGUUCAGUUCUCAUCAGGCAAUUUAUUUAGUAAAAAAUGAUACUGUAACUACAAUCUGAGCUAUUUGAUCAAGGGGACAAAAAAAGAUGCUGCAAAUGUAGAUUCAGCACUAUAAACAUAUUACCAAAAGCUUUUAUUUACUGACUUGCCAAAAAUAAAAAGAAUAUCACUAGCCCUCACAUGUGGCUCCAUUAAGUCUUUUUUAUUCUAUUUUUUAAAAUUUAUUUCCCACAUAUGAUCAUUCCCAUCCAAGAAAUCGUUCUGAUAACAUUCUAAAAAGUUCAUCCCAGCACAAUUCAUAAUUGCAAAGAUACAGAACUAACCUAAAUGCCCACCAGCCAAUGAGUGAAUAAAGAAAAUGUGUGCAUUACACACACACACACGGAAUAUUCCUCAGUCAUCAACAAGA